Molecule: non-coding RNA, 96 nt
Organism: Nicotiana sylvestris (wood tobacco)
Lineage: Eukaryota; Viridiplantae; Streptophyta; Magnoliopsida; Solanales; Solanaceae
Source: Rfam
UGGACAGAUUAUUGUAUUCGACUGUAUUCACGACGUGAAACAGGGGAUUACACUGUUUUUAAACGGAAAGUGAAUCAAUUAACAUAAUAGACUCCU